RNAcentral lists this ribosomal RNA (447 nucleotides) under uncultured bacterium. RNAcentral's name for it is "SSU rRNA". It matches the Rfam family "Bacterial small subunit ribosomal RNA", at positions 26 to 518 of the family's 1533-position model. The record is from RNAcentral.
AGAACGAACGCUGGCGGCAGGCUUAACACAUGCAAGUCGAACGCCCUCGCAAGGGGGAGUGGCAGACGGGUGAGUAACACGUGGGAACAUACCCUUCGGUUCGGAACAACGCCGGGAAACUGGCGCUAAUACCGGAUACGGCUUUUGAGCGAAAGAUUUAUUGCCGAAGGAUUGGCCCGCGUUCGAUUAGCUUGUUGGUGAGGUAACGGCUCACCAAGGCGACGAUCGAUAGCUGGUCUGAGAGGAUGGCCAGCCACAUUGGGACUGAGACACGGCCCAAACUCCUACGGGAGGCAGCAGUGGGGAAUAUUCGGCAAUGGGCGCAAGCCUGACCGAGCGACGCCGCGUGCGGGACGACGCUUUUCGGAGUGUAAACCGCUUUUCUAUUCGACGAGACAGGACGGUAGAGUAGGAAGAAGUCUCGGCUAACUACGCGUCAGCAGCCGC